AUACUACUCCCUCCGCCCGGAAAAGCUUGUCCCAAACAUGUUUCUCAAACGGAUGUAUCUAGCACUAAUUUGGUGCUACAUACAUCCAUUUAAGGAACAAGUUUUUUGGACGGAGGGAGUACUUC
Molecule: non-coding RNA, 125 nt
Organism: Triticum aestivum (bread wheat)
Lineage: Eukaryota; Viridiplantae; Streptophyta; Magnoliopsida; Poales; Poaceae
Source: Rfam